CCUACGGUGGGCAGCAGUAGGGAAUCUUCCACAAUGAGCGAAAGCUUGAUGUAGUAACGCAGCGUGGAUGAAGAAGGUCUUCGGAUCGUAAACCGCUGUUGUAAGAGAAGAAAGUGCGUAAGAGUAAAUGGUCAAGUUUCGACGGUAACUAACCAGAAAGCCACGGCUAACUACGUGCCAGCUGCCGCGGUAAUACCUAGGUCACAAGCGUUAUCCGGAUUUAUUGGGGGUAAAGGGAUCUCAGGGGGUCUUUUAAGUCUGAUGUUCAAGUCUUGGGCCUAACCGGAGUAGUGCAUUGGAUACUGGGAGACUAGAGUGAUGAAGAGGAGAGCGGAACUCUAUGUGGAGCGGUGAAAUGCGUAGAUAUAUGGAAGAAAACCAGCGGCGAAAGCAGCUCUCUGGUCUUUAACUGACGCUGAAGUUCGAAAGCGUGGGUAGCAAACAGGAUUAGAUACCCCGGUAGUC
This 465-nucleotide ribosomal RNA is filed under the name uncultured bacterium. Its description in RNAcentral is "partial 16S ribosomal RNA". It matches the Rfam family "Bacterial small subunit ribosomal RNA", at positions 338 to 795 of the family's 1533-position model. The record is from RNAcentral.